RNAcentral lists this transfer RNA (84 nucleotides) under Plicaturopsis crispa FD-325 SS-3. It matches the Rfam family "tRNA". From Rfam's summary of the family: Transfer RNA (tRNA) molecules are approximately 80 nucleotides in length. Their secondary structure includes four short double-helical elements and three loops (D, anti-codon, and T loops). Further hydrogen bonds mediate the characteristic L-shaped molecular structure. tRNAs have two regions of fundamental functional importance: the anti-codon, which is responsible for specific mRNA codon recognition, and the 3' end, to which the tRNAs corresponding amino acid is attached (by aminoacyl-tRNA synthetases). tRNAs cope with the degeneracy of the genetic code in two manners: having more than one tRNA (with a specific anti-codon) for a particular amino acid; and 'wobble' base-pairing, i.e. permitting non-standard base-pairing at the 3rd anti-codon position. The record is from Rfam by way of RNAcentral. Lineage: Eukaryota; Fungi; Basidiomycota; Agaricomycetes; Amylocorticiales; Amylocorticiaceae.
GUCCCUGUCGAUUAGUGGUUAAAUCAUCUCGUUGUGGCACAGUGCAUAACCGAGAAGCCGGAAGUUCGAAUCCUCCUUGGGACA